RNAcentral lists this ribosomal RNA (227 nucleotides) under uncultured bacterium. RNAcentral's name for it is "partial 16S ribosomal RNA". It matches the Rfam family "Bacterial small subunit ribosomal RNA", at positions 15 to 235 of the family's 1533-position model. The record is from RNAcentral.
GAUCAUGGCUCAGGAUGAACGCUAGCGACAGGCUUAACACAUGCAAGUCGAGGGGCAGCGGGGUGUAGCAAUACACCGCCGGCGACCGGCGCACGGGUGAGUAACGCGUAUGCAACUUGCCUAUCAGAGGGGGAUAACCCGGCGAAAGUCGGACUAAUACCGCAAUGAAGCAGGGAUCCCGCAUGGGGAUAUUUGCUAAAGAUUCAUCGCUGAUAGAUAGGCAUGCG